Molecule: long non-coding RNA, 358 nt
Filed under: Struthio camelus australis
Lineage: Eukaryota; Metazoa; Chordata; Aves; Struthioniformes; Struthionidae
Description: lncRNA (ENSSCUG00000018547.1)
Source: RNAcentral
CAGACUUCUUAUGCCGUUGGAGGGCAGGCUGAAUUGUUUGCAUUAAUUUCCUUGGGUGGAGGACUGCUUGUGCUGCUGGUCCUUCAGCUCCCAUCCCGCGGGAGGACACUCAGCCAGCUCGGCCUGGAGCGGGGAGGCAGUGACGGCUAAACGCAGGGGUGAGCAGCAGCCCUGCCUCGUCGGGCAAUGGGAUGCGAGUGCCUGAAUCACACCAACCUAACUGGCUGAGCAGCUGCAGGUAGGUGCCUUUUGCAGCGCAACUGCAUUGUAGUCCUACAGUUACAAUGUGGACGGUAUAGGACAUAGUGCAGCGACCAGUGGGAGAUCUUAUUCUGUAAGCUCAAAAGUUCAGUGUGUC